CAGCAGCCGCGGGAAUACGUAGGGUGCAAGCGUUAAUCGGAAUUACUGGGCGUAAAGCGUGCGCAGGCGGUUAUAUAAGUCAGAUGUGAAAUCCCCGGGCUCAACCUGGGAACUGCAUUUGAGACUGUAUGGCUAGAGUGUGUCAGAGGGGGGUAGAAUUCCACGUGUAGCAGUGAAAUGCGUAGAUAUGUGGAGGAAUACCGAUGGCGGAGGCAGCCCCCUGGGAUAACACUGACGCUCAUGCACGAAAGCGUGGGGAGCAAACAGGAUUAGAUACCCGCGUAGUCCCUGUCUCUUAUAC
This 301-nucleotide ribosomal RNA is filed under the name uncultured bacterium. RNAcentral describes it as "partial 16S ribosomal RNA". It matches the Rfam family "Bacterial small subunit ribosomal RNA", at positions 509 to 807 of the family's 1533-position model. The record is from RNAcentral.